Long non-coding RNA from Leopardus geoffroyi (Geoffroy's cat), 2108 nucleotides. RefSeq lists it as uncharacterized. The transcript is spliced from 4 exons. The record is from RefSeq and is a predicted model, not a curated record. NCBI's taxonomy places the organism in Eukaryota, Metazoa, Chordata, Mammalia, Carnivora, Felidae.
GGAUGUUGGGGUGAGGGGUGGUGGCGAUGCAGGGGAGGAGCCCCUACGAGGACCAGAGUAAAUAACUGCUACCAUUCAUUCAGUUGGCUGCACGGGGGCUCAUUCUCCAUAUGCCUCAAGCCUUGAGUGAGGAAAACAGAAACCAUUAAAACGAUACACACAGACCUACGGAAAGGUGCCGGUAACCGUAUCACAUCAAUCCCCAAGUCCCCCUAGGGGGAAGCGACAGGAGAGGAGCAGUGAGGAAGUUGGGUAGCUUCAGGGAGAAUUGAACAUCCAUAGCCAAGGAGAAAAGGCUAAGUAUAGAAAAAUGUAAAUGGAUGGGCAUAUAUCAGUUUAUGGAAUAUAGCGUCACUGCUCGGAAAACGGAACUUCAGAUACCUUGGCUGAAAUAUCAGCUAUCACUACAUCCUAUGUAUAGUCAAUAGCUCAAUGGUUCUUGAGUUUGCAGGUUACACUCACCUGGGAAGCCUUGCAAAUCCUGAUGCCCAGGCCCCAUCCCAAUCAGAAUCUCUGUGGGUAUUUUCGUUUUUUGGUUUUUGUUUUUUUUGUUUUUUGUUUUUUGUUUUAAAACUUCUGGCAUCUUUUAACUUGUAGCCUGCGUUGCAAAUCACUGUUUCUGGGUCAGCGUUUAAUGGAGAGGCAAGCUCGUUUUUCGGUUUUUGUUAAAUUGUCUUGUUGUUUUAAUGAACACUUGUAAUUGUCUAACAGAACCAGUCCUCAUCUUGAUUCUUUUUAUACACUGAUAUCUUGCUUAAUCUUUCUCUCUCUUCUCUUCCUUUCUCUCUCUGCCUCUCGGUUUCUGUCUCGGUCGCAACCGGGGUUGCAAACACUGGAUUAAGAGACUGUAUUUGGUGGUGAAAAGCUUUGGUGUGUCAAAGAAGCAUGGGCUUAGAAAGCUCUCUACAGCCUGGUGAGAAAAUAACACAUCUUAAUACGGUUGCAUUCAAUGGAUGAUUGCAGAGAACAGAUUCGGAGGCCUCUCACGGAGCGUUUGCGAUGGUGGUAAAAGUGUAUUUUCACCGCGCUGACCAACUUUUACCCCUGGGUGAGACAUAUAUAGUAAGAAGUUGCUACAGCCAAUGUCAGGUUACUGCCCAUCUUCUCCGUUUUAGAAAACAUCCUACACAACAGUGGAACACGCAUACCCGUCCCCACACACACCCGUCGUCAGGAGGAAAAGGCUCCAAAGAUACGCAACAGCACCUGACACCAUCUGAUACACUUCCUUCCGCACUUGUAAGCUGCGAAGCCUUCCUCGAACCAGCAGGUGGACUGUGACAGGGGCGGGGACUGCCUCUGUACACUCAGUUUAACCUGUGACCAAUGGCUGCCACAUGGUAGGCGCUCAACAAAUGUAUUUAUUGAAGUAAAUGAGUAAUGAAGAAAAGGGAAUUUUACAGAAACAUAAAGUCUUCUGUAUUUUGAAGUAUCAACAGUGAACUAGUAAGAAAUCUGGUUUCAGUCAGAAUGAGGUCAAGACUGAUCAAAGAAAGAAUGGUCUCAAGUUCACAGGAUUACAAAUGGAGUCCCGAAGAGAACACAGGAGUAAACAUUAGACGUUAAUGCUUACCUUUAUUUUUGCUUUAAUUUCCUGAGCACGUACAACUGGAUCCUGGUCAAGACUCUUUUUAGCCUGAGCAUUCAUGAGGUUGUUCAUCCACUCCAUCACUUCAUUAACAGACUUCUCAACCUUUUUCAUCUCAGACUCAUCAAUAUGAUUGUAUUUCUCAUCCUGAAUGGAAAAAAAGCACAGUUAUCCUGUGAAACGAAGUAUUUAACAAUAACAUCUCACCUGACCCAAUUUUCCAUGAAGUUCAAACCUACCUCUGGUCUCAAACACAAAAACAAAUGUCUCACUUAGGAAGAUGUGUUCACAACGAAGGCUCCUCAACUUAGUAUUAGUUUAUUAAAAUCUAGGUUAACUUCCUUGCGAUGUAUAAAAAGACUUACAUUAUUUCUGAAGUCCGCGGCUAUCUUGGCAUAGUGCUGCAGUCUCUGUCCCAGUUCUUCGAACAUUUUUGGUCGUUCCUCAGCUUCUUGAAACCGAACUUUAACUGGAGUGCCAAUUUUCUAAAACAAAAUGUAAUAAAUUAGCAUUUGUCUAA